UUUUUUUUUUUGGUUCUGGAAGUCACAGAGAUUAUGGAUUGCUCUGCAGAGGCAGCCUGCCUGAUGAUGCUAGCACUUUGCAGCACUGGGUUUUUCUGCAGCAGUUUCAUUUUUAUUCUCAUUCAGAGACACAGUGGGUCAGUUCAAUAGAAACAUUUACUCACUGAGGUCAGGGCCUGUGUCUUGUACAGCCUGUUUGUAUGGCCAGGGACUGACAAGGACAAGUAAGUGGGAAGUAUUCUUAAAUGUUGAAUUGCAUUGCAUUGCCUGUCUGCCCCCCACUCCCUACCUUGGUCUUAAACUUGGUCCAAUCAGGUUCUGGAACUAGGAAAAAACAGCUAUCAGGUAUUGGGCAGGAUGGGGACAGGAGGGAUCAGAUUAUACCACUGCUACCUUCCAUGGCUCCAGGAGAAAGUUAAGGUGACAAGAUUGAAGAGUAUCAUGUCCUACCAGAUCUAAUGUUAGUCUCUUCCUCUCAGAGACACACAUGACUAGGAGCUGAAACAUAAUAGGAAUUGGGAUAGGAAUCUGAACCAAUAGAACAGGGACCAUGAAAUGCAGAAAUUAGGAGGGUACAUCACCACCACCAGCAGUAUUUGGGGCUGGAACUGAGAUAGGCUCUUGAUAAGUAGCACUGCCCCAGAGCCCUCUGUGGGCUCCAGGUGAAGCAGCCUUCAAUCAUUUGCGGGGGUGCCUUUUGACUGUCAAGGCAUACUUUGGUGCCUUAAUACCACGAUCGGUGACAUUCCCAAUUCCCCAGAAAGAAAAUUUAAACUCUGUUUUCCAAGAGUACACACACACACACACACACACACACACACACACACACACACAGAGUCUCUCUCUCUCUCCCGACUGUGUUAUAAGCAAAAGUCAAUUUGAGAGGAAGACAAUGAAGUCCCCAAGAGAAAAUCACUGUGAGUAAAGAUACUCUGUCAGAGUGGACCAGACUCAACCAGAGAACCUGAAUCGUGGAGGACAAGAGGUUCCAGGCAGAGCAUGAGACUCUCUCAGUAGUUCUCACCUGAAGUCCCUCAACCUCGAAUCCUAAGAGUUCCAGUAUGUUCUGGAAACGAGGGGCGUGGUCUUAAUUAGAAAACAAAAAUCAAAACGAAACAAAAACAUGUAAACAAAGGUACAAUCAUUCUGGAGUUGGCAUCUUCUCUAAAAGACCUGGAAGACCUGUCCUGCUGGCCAGGGAGGAGCUGACUAUUGGAGGUCAGGGGUUUCGAGGAGGUGGGCAACGGCGGCGGCAGCCAAGGGGGAGGAGGCAGCUGUAGCGCGGCACGGCAGCCCACUCCGAGGACAGAGACGGGAAAAGGAAAGACAUGACUGCACAGCCAAAUGUGGCAGAGUUAGCCACUUUUGCAGUAUAACAUAUUUUAUAUUUUAUUCAAAGUGUUAUCUUCUGCCAGAUCUUGAAAUCUUUCAGAGCUCAGUAUGUGGGUGGGUUCAGCUCCAUAUAUUUUUCAUUAACGUCUACUAGUAGGCCUAGGAUAGUGCAGAGAGACAAGGAUAGUGCAGAGAGACAAGAAAGAACCACGCCAGAAACACAGAUACAGAGAAAACCAGGCUGACAAAAAGAUACAUAGGGAGAGGUACUGGGUGAUCUUGAGAAAAGCCAUUUUCUAGGUUCAGAGGAACACAGAGUUCUAGGAGCAAUUUGGUCAAGAGAUUCAGGAAAGCCUAUUAAGACGGUGUUCUGCGAGACGCUAGUUGCGUACCCCAGGAUGGAGAUCUGGCGGUCCUGGAUUAAGGCUCCCCGAACUGAGAAACGAAGAGAAAUCGCAAAGCUUCAUUGUUUUGUUUGUCCCUUGGUU
Molecule: long non-coding RNA, 1820 nt
Filed under: Macaca fascicularis (crab-eating macaque)
Lineage: Eukaryota; Metazoa; Chordata; Mammalia; Primates; Cercopithecidae
Description: lncRNA (ENSMFAG00000065573.1)
Source: RNAcentral